Xyrichtys novacula (pearly razorfish) is the source of this 114-nucleotide non-coding RNA. The record is from the annotation of a GenBank genome assembly. NCBI's taxonomy places the organism in Eukaryota, Metazoa, Chordata, Actinopteri, Labriformes, Labridae.
GUUGGCUAUGGCGAUAUGUACCCAGAGACAGUAUGGGGUAAGCUAGUGGGCUCAAUGUGCGCCAUCGCAGGUGUGCUGACCAUUUCACUUCCUGUCCCCGUCAUUGUGUCCAAC